CUACGGGACGCACCAGUGGGGAAUAUUGGACAAUGGGGGAAACCCUGAUCCAGCAAUGCCGCGUGUGUGAAGAAGGCCUGCGGGUUGUAAAGCACUUUCGGUUGGGAGGACUGCUUCUAGCACUAAUAUUGUUGGAAGUUGACGUUACCUUCAGAAGAAGCACCGGCUAACUCCGUGCCAGCAGCCGCGGUAAUACGGAGGGUGCAAGCGGUAAUCGGAAUUACUGGGCGUAAAGCGCGCGUAGGCGGCUAGAUCAGUCGGGUGUGAAAGCCCCGGGCUUAACCUGGGAACGGCAUCCGAUACUGUCUAGCUUGAGUACAGGAGAGGAGAGUGGAAUUCCACAUGUAGCGGUGAAAUGCGUAGAUAUGUGGAAGAACACCAAUGGCGAAGGCAGCUCUCUGGCCUGAUACUGACGCUGAGGUGCGAAAGCGUGGGGAGCAAACAGGAUUAGAUACCCGUGUAGUC
RNAcentral lists this ribosomal RNA (465 nucleotides) under uncultured bacterium. Its description in RNAcentral is "partial 16S ribosomal RNA". It matches the Rfam family "Bacterial small subunit ribosomal RNA", at positions 339 to 795 of the family's 1533-position model. The record is from RNAcentral.